CUGGCUCAGGAUGAACGCUAGCUACAGGCUUAACACAUGCAAGUCGAAGGGCAGCAUGAAAGUAGCUUGCUACUUUGAUGGCGACCGGCGCACGGGUGCGUAACGCGUAUCCAAUCUACCCAUGGCUCAGGGAUAGCCUUUCGAAAGAAAGAUUAAUACCUGAUGGUUUCGCUUUUCCGCAUGGUUUAGCGAAUAAAGAUUUAUCGGCGAUGGAUGAGGAUGCGACUGAUUAGGUUGUUGGCGGGGUAACGGCCCACCAAGCCGACGAUCAGUAGGGGUUCUGAGAGGAAGGUCCCCCACAUUGGAACUGAGACACGGUCCAAACUCCUACGGGAGGCAGCAGUGAGGAAUAUUGGUCAAUGGACGAGAGUCUGAACCAGCCAAGUAGCCGUGAAGGAUGACGGCCCUAUGGGUUGUAAACUUCUUUUGUUUGGGAAUAAAGUGCUCUACGUGUAGAGUUUUGUAUGUACCUUACGAAUAAGCAUCGGCUAAUUCCGUGCCAGCCGCAGC
RNAcentral lists this ribosomal RNA (510 nucleotides) under uncultured bacterium. Its description in RNAcentral is "bacterial SSU rRNA". It matches the Rfam family "Bacterial small subunit ribosomal RNA", at positions 19 to 518 of the family's 1533-position model. The record is from RNAcentral.